Molecule: ribosomal RNA, 465 nt
Filed under: uncultured bacterium
Lineage: Bacteria
Description: partial 16S ribosomal RNA
Rfam family: Bacterial small subunit ribosomal RNA
Source: RNAcentral
GACGAACGCUGGCGGCGUGCUUAACACAUGCAAGUCGAACGGAAAGGCCCUGCUUGCAGGGUACUCGAGUGGCGAACGGGUGAGUAACACGUGGGUGAUCUGCCCUGCACUUCGGGAUAAGCCUGGGAAACUGGGUCUAAUACCGGAUAGGAGCCAUUUUUAGUGUGAUGGUUGGAAAGUUUUUUCGGUGUAGGAUGAGCUCGCGGCCUAUCAGCUUGUUGGUGGGGUAAUGGCCUACCAAGGCGGCGACGGGUAGCCGGCCUGAGAGGGUGGACGGCCAAAUUGGGACUGAGAUACGGCCCAGACUCCUACGGGAGGCAGCAGUGGGGAAUAUUGCACAAUGGGCGCAAGCCUGAUGCAGCGACGCCGCGUGGGGGAUGACGGCCUUCGGGUUGUAAAAUCCUUUCGCUAGGGACGAAGCUUUUUGUGACGGUACCUAGAUAAGAAGCACCGGCUAACUACGUG